Molecule: long non-coding RNA, 215 nt
Organism: Lontra canadensis (Northern American river otter)
Lineage: Eukaryota; Metazoa; Chordata; Mammalia; Carnivora; Mustelidae
Exons: 3
Source: RefSeq, a predicted model, not a curated record
AAAAUGCGAGGAAAGGGGCUCUCUCAUUUGACCUUGAAUUUACCUUGCCAGGAUCCUUUUGAGUCCUCUUUCAGGGGCUUUUCAAACUUUGAAUCAAAACCCGCUGUGAGAAAUAGCUUAACAACUCCAGGUGCAGAGGAGACUGGGCUUGGGCCAUGUGACUUGUACAGCCAACAGGACAUCAGCAAACAUGAUGUAGAGACUUGAUAAGCGUU